UACGUAGGGUGCAAGCGUUGUCCGGAAUUAUUGGGCGUAAAGAGCUCGUAGGCGGUCUGUCGCGUCGGCUGUGAAAACCCGGAGCUCAACUCCGGGCCUGCAGUCGAUACGGGCAGACUGGAGUACUGCAGGGGAGACUGGAAUUCCUGGUGUAGCGGUGGAAUGCGCAGAUAUCAGGAGGAACACCGGUGGCGAAGGCGGGUCUCUGGGCCGAUACUGACACUGAGAAGCGAAAGCGUGGGGAGCGAACAGG
Molecule: ribosomal RNA, 253 nt
Filed under: uncultured bacterium
Lineage: Bacteria
Description: partial 16S ribosomal RNA
Rfam family: Bacterial small subunit ribosomal RNA
Source: RNAcentral